GAAAGGCAUACGUCUGAGUGGCGGACGGGUGAGUAACGCGUGAGCAACCUGCCUGCAAGAGGGGGACAACAGCUGGAAACGGCUGCUAAUACCGCAUAAGACCACAGCAUCGCAUGAUGAAGAGGUCAAAGGAGGAAUCCACUUGCAGAUGGGCUCGCGUCCCAUUAGGUAGUUGGUGAGGUAAGGGCUCACCAAGCCGACGAUGGGUAGCCGACCUGAGAGGGUGAUCGGCCACACUGGAACUGAGACACGGUCCAAACUCAAACGGGAGGCAACAGUGGGGAAUAUUGGGCAAUGGGGGAAACCCUGACCCAGCAACGCCGCGUGAGGGAAGAAGGCUUUCGGGUUGUAAACCUCUGUCCUUGGGGACGAAGCAAGUGACGGUACCCAAGGAGGAAGCUCCGGCUAACUACGUGCCAGCAGCCGCGGUAAUACGUAGGGAGCAAGCGUUGUCCGGAAUUACUGGGCGUAAAGGGUGCGUAGGCGGCCUGGUAAGUCAGAUGUGAAAUACCCGUGCUUAACAUGGGGGGUGCAUCUGAUACUGUCAGGCUUGAGUGCAGGAGAGGAAAGCGGAAUUCCUAGUGUAGCGGUGAAAUGCAUAGAUAUUAGGAGGAACACCAGUGGCGAAGGCGGCUUUCUGGACUGUAACUGACGCUGAGGCACGAAAGCGUGGGGAGCAAACAGGAUUAGAUACCCUGGUAGUCCACGCCGUAAACGAUGGAUACUGGGUGUAGGGGUCAAGAGGC
This 746-nucleotide ribosomal RNA is filed under the name uncultured bacterium. Its description in RNAcentral is "bacterial SSU rRNA". It matches the Rfam family "Bacterial small subunit ribosomal RNA", at positions 79 to 838 of the family's 1533-position model. The record is from RNAcentral.